This 310-nucleotide ribosomal RNA is filed under the name uncultured bacterium. RNAcentral's name for it is "bacterial SSU rRNA". It matches the Rfam family "Bacterial small subunit ribosomal RNA", at positions 28 to 334 of the family's 1533-position model. The record is from RNAcentral.
GACGAACGCUGGCGGUGUGCUUCACACAUGCAAGUCGAGCGAACGAAGAUUGAAGCUUGCUUCGGUCCUAGUUAGCGGCGGACGGGUGAGUAACACGUAGGAAUCUGCCUUAAGGCGGGGACAACGGAACGAAAGUUGCGCUAAUACCCCAUACGCGAUUAGUUUUCGGAUUAAUCGUAAAAGGAGCAAUCCACCUUUUGAUGAGCCUGCGUCUGAUUAGCUAGUUGGUAGGGUAAAGGCCUACCAAGGCUACGAUCGGUAGUUGGUCUGAGAGGAUGAUCAGCCACAAUGGAACUGAGACACGGUCCAU